GUGAGGAAUAUUGGUCAAUGGGCGGGAGCCUGAACCAGCCAAGUCGCGUGAAGGAAGAAGGAUCUAUGGUUCGUAAACUUCUUUUGCAGGGGAAUAAAGUGCAGGACGUGUCCUGUUUUGUAUGUACCCUGAGAAUAAGGAUCGGCUAACUCCGUGCCAGCAGCCGCGGUAAUACGGAGGAUCCGAGCGUUAUCCGGAUUUAUUGGGUUUAAAUGGUGCGUAGGUGGUUUGAUAAGUCAGCGGUGAAAGUUUGCAGCUUAACUGUAAAAAUGCCGUUGAAACUGUCGGACUUGAGUGUAAAUGAGGUAGGCGGAAUGCGUGGUGUAGCGGUGAAAUGCAUAGAUAUCACGCAGAACUCCGAUUGCGAAGGCAGCUUACUAAGCUACAACUGACACUGAAGCACGAAAGCGUGGGGAUCAAACAGGAUUAGAUACCCUGGUAGUCC
This 445-nucleotide ribosomal RNA is filed under the name uncultured bacterium. Its description in RNAcentral is "partial 16S ribosomal RNA". It matches the Rfam family "Bacterial small subunit ribosomal RNA", at positions 354 to 796 of the family's 1533-position model. The record is from RNAcentral.